Long non-coding RNA from Prionailurus viverrinus (fishing cat), 6219 nucleotides. RefSeq lists it as uncharacterized. NCBI's taxonomy places the organism in Eukaryota, Metazoa, Chordata, Mammalia, Carnivora, Felidae. The transcript has 3 exons. The record is from RefSeq and is a predicted model, not a curated record.
GGGCUCUCCCCUGCUCUGGGAGGGGCUGUGGAAGAGAAGGAGGCGGAAGCGGAGACCUCUCCAGUCCGUCCUGGAGCCAGUAGGGAAGCGGCCGUUGUGGCAAAGCCCAGCGGAAGAAAGGCCAGAGGUCCGGGCUGCUCCCGGGCUGCUGAGUGCUGUCUCCGUGGCCGACUGACCGUGUCAUCAUUCAGCUGACCUGCCCUGCACCCUCCAGCCCCGGAAACCAUGGGCUCACGGACCCUGGCUCAGCGUGCUGCAGUCCCUUGAAGACACCGGGCUUGCAUUCCAGAGACGAGGAGCCACCGAGGGACAGCAGCCAGGCCCUGAGAUGAACAUCGCAGGAAGACAGCCCAGGUUUAUCUUACGGAGUUUUGGGACCGGGCUCCGGGCUUCCGUGUGUGGCAAACACCCGGAGGAUGUGCUGGAAGCCCGGGGUGCCUGCCCGCCGCUCUCAGGUCCUGGCGGAGAACCGGACAGAGGGCGGCUACGUGGUUUCCAGCGAACAUUCGCCGUCGGUGUUACCGCUAACACCUGCCUCUCCCCGCCAGCGCCACCGCGUCUCCCACCGAGGGGCAGAGGGAAGUUUCCUGGCUCCGCUUCCCCCAAGCAUCAGGUGGCUGGAGAUUCCCUAUUUACGUGGUGCUCCUGACCGGCAGGUGUGCUCUGGGAUUGGUGCCCCACAGGUGGCCUUGCAGGUGCCUGGCGUCCCCUCCCCCUGCCCCCACCGCCCCCCUGGGCUCCCCCAAGGGCUUGCUGCCCUCUGCCCGCCCUCUGCGGGCCCUCUGCCCACCCUCUGCCCACCCCACACACGCACCUGAUGGGCUCCUGGUCUUCCUUGUCUUCCUUGCUCUGUGCCACCCUGAUGCCACUUUUCUUUGCUCUCGGGCAACCUGAAAGACUAGAGAAGGGACACAGCCUCAGGACGCGUCCGCCCUGGUGUGGGCAGCCCCCUCCCCGCUGUCGCUGCUCAGAUUCUGUUUCUCCAGAAGCUGGAGCUGCUCCCCAUGAACACAAAAUUAUUCCGGGAGGAGGGACCUUCCGGGAACGGCCCCGCGUGUGCUCUCCAAGUCUUUAGACCCCAUCAGUCCCCUGGCGAGGGGGAGCACUGGGUGGCCGGGAACACCAGAGAGAGGCUGGGUGGCGGGCCCAGAAAAGGGGUAACGCUGAGGAGAAAACACACGCUCCCUCCGUCUCUUCUUUGGCGACCUGUUGUCUGCAGCCCGCUGCCCGGGCCCUGCCAUCUGGGGACAAUGACACCCGGUGGUCUGAUUCCUCUCAAGUACAGACUUAUUGUGAGUCUGCCGAAGGUGCAGGGGAAGUUGAACAUGAUUAUUUUAUUCAGUCGUCAAAAUUUUGGAAAUAGAAGCUCACUCUUAUCUAAAGGAAGACUUCCGGCUGGAACAGAAAACAUACAUGUCUGAUCAUGCACGUGGGCCAACAUGUAUGAACUGCACACGUGCUAACUUGCAUGAGCGUGUACACGGGCUAACAAUAGGCUGUGAUAUGAGAUUGUGCACGAGAACGUACAGAAUAAAUGCGAUUCUUGUGCAAAGACUGAAAAACCAGAAACUAGGCCAUUUACGGAGACGCGGGGACACACGGGUGCUGACUCGUCCGUGCCGACGUGCGGCCGUGGCCCAGGUGGGUACCCGUCACCCCUCCUCCGUUCCUGAGCUUGUGCCGUGCUUCCCGGUCAGUCCUGGCUGACCACGCUGAGUCUCAGGGUCCCCUCACCCAUCGCUGCGCUCUGCCCCCCCAGCAUCUUCCCUCCUGUCCUCUCGGGUAAGAAGCAGCACCCCACAGGCAGAGGGCGGGUGCUGGGGUUGGGGCUUCGGGCCCCGGGCGCUGCCCCCUCCUGUCUCCGUCGACAGGUGUCCCAACCCCUCUGGAACGUGGCCCGUCUGCUACGUCACCGUCUCCUUUAAUAGGAAUGUGGGAAAGACGAGAUGUGCCCGGAUCCUCUCCCUCCUGCUGCCUCUGGUCCUCCGUUUCAAGGUAAAAACUUGGAAAGUGGGUGUGCCGCUCCGUGGCUGUCCCCACUGCCGUCCGGCUCUGAUCUCUUGCCAGGAAGAGCGCUCUUUCCGGUCACCAUGAUCCGGAGCCGGAGGGCGCCCCUGGCCUCUUGCAGGCGAUGCUCCUCCGAGCCUGUCGGCAGCCUCGGCGUCUGGAGGGCCUGUGUCCCGGGAGGUCGGUGUCGUGUGCUGCCCUCGCUUGAGGCCUGAGCUCACACGUCCCUCGUGCUCCUGAGCCCCCGCCAGGCCCUCUGCCCGGGCAUCCUUCCCUUCCGGCAGAGCUCGCCUGAGCCCUCUGCCAUCCACGACAAAACUCAAGCCGUGCGUCCUAUGACUCCUGGUCACGUUUGGGCGACGCCCUUCAUUCCCGCUAAAGGUUAAACUCCUCGCCCUCAGUUCCCUCCACGUCUCGUGUGCUCCUCUCCGUGGAUGGCAUCGGCGUCUGCUCCCCGGCCCGAGAUGGAACUGAGCUCAUCCUUGGCCUUACUUGCCCGGGGUCCUGCUGGUUUUACGUCCCCCGUAUCUUCGGAACCAUCCCCCUUCUGCCUCCGCGACGCCGUGUCGGGACGGGCUGGCGUCAGCUCCGGGCUGUGUUAAGCCGCUCCAUUUAGGACCUUCCGGUGGGCCACCACCAAACGCCUCGCCGUGGGCACCGUGGGCCGGCCCCGCCCCCAGUGUCUGCCGGCUCUCCCGCCUGGCACACGCCCGCGCCCUCGCACGCUCUUCCGGCGCCACUGUCCCCGCCGUCUGCUGGCGGGCACAUCCCUCGAGGUGUGUUCCUCGGUGUGGGCGCCCUUCUGACAACCGGCCCUGGGAGCCCGCAGGGCCCUGUCCCCUGCGGGUGUUACUCGCGCUGUGCUGGAAGCCGUCCGCCCACCCGCCACAGGCUGCUGAGCCGCGAGUUCCGGGGGCGCGAGAGCCAUGUGCUCGGUCGCCCGCGUCCAGUCCCACACCGUGUGUCCAGCCGGGGGUCUGCGUGCGCCCGCGGCCCUUCCUGGCUUGGAUCCGGGGCCCUGCGGCCCGCGUUGCUUCCGCCCGCCGGCGGCCAUCCCCUCCUGGAUGUUCCCGUUACUUCCGAACGCGGCUUUCGGGUCCUCCCUGCGCGGUUUCCUCACGUGCAGUCAGGACACAAAUACUGGUCCCGUAGGACAGCGAGACCACACAGGCAACGUGUACAUCCAUGCUCGUGGUACAUAGUACGUGCUCGACACAUGCUACCUUUGCCAUCAGAGAACAUUCUGGAACCCUAAGCGAGCAGCUGCUCUCUGAGCCUGGGAGGCUGUCCUGGGGAGCCAGAGUCACGUGGUGGCUUGUGACAGCUCGAGGCUUUGGCACUCUUGCUGCAUGUGAGCCAUGGCAGGUCACAGGGAUCAGGAGCUCCUCGGGACCGUGUGCUGGGACCACGCUGGGUGGGGGUGGGGGGGCCGCUGCGCUGGCAGGAAACAGCCGGCCUGGGAAGGGCCAGCUCGAGCAAUGGAUCCUUGUUGUCCUUGUGGACAGGGCCGUGGUCUCUGUGGACCCCUCCAGCCUCACCUGGCAGACGCGGUCCCUCUUGUCACUGAGGACCGAGGGAGGCAGCACAUGUGACGGUGGGCUGGGUUGUUUUUUUUUUUAUUUUUUUAAGUUUAUUUAUUUUGAGAGAGAGGGAGAGACAGAGAAUACCAAGCAGGGGCUCGAACUCGAACUCAAAAACCGUGAGCAGAACCUGAGCUGAAAUCAAGAGUCAGACGCUUAACUGACCGAGCCCUCCAGGCGUCCAGUUUGUUUUGUUUGUUUUGUUGUUGACGGAACCCUAGAGACCGCCAGCAAAUAUGGAUUGUACUGAAUUCAGGGAAGCGUCAGAGCUGGUGCAGAGACGAGAAAAUCGCACCAUGAAAACGGAAAUGGAGCGUGCACAGGCCAGAACCUCUCCCACCCAGAGCCGGGACUGGGCGACCUUCUGGGUGGGGAGGUGGCCAACUCUGAACCUGUUUCCUCCGUGCGAGAGGACACGACCUCACCUAACACCGGCGUGGCCCUGAGAGCUGUGGAGGACCGCGCACUGUCCCCGGCUCCCGGCUGAGAGGGGCACCUGGCCUCUGUGCCCCAGUCAGGAGGGCGGCCGGCCCACAGCGACGCCCCAGGCCGGGCCUGACCGCAUGCUUUCCCUGGAGAGGGAGGGGGGCUCAGCAUCCACAGCCCCCGUUCUGGGCCCCUGUUUCCUGGGAGACCCGGGACGGCAGGAGGGCUGCGUGGGCUCACGGCUGCCUGAGUUGUGGCACCGUUUUAAAGACGUUUUCUCUGUUGUUUGCUCAUCGGUAACAUUCCUCGCGUCCCUGGGAAGCGACAGUGGACGGUUAACCCUGAAAGCAGGUUCUCUCCUUGUGUUUGGGCCUCGUGAGCGGCAGGCCUGGGGGCUCCGUGCCAGCCUCUCCUUCCUCAGUGGCCGCCCGAGGGAGCUGCCAGCCAUGUCUGCGCUUCCCCGGGUGGUGGCCUCACCCAGUGGGACAGACGGCAUGGCCCUGUGCGCCGCUUGGACUUUCGGGGCGCUCCUGUGGGGGGCGCUGGCUGUGCUCAGCUUUGCCGGGAACCGGGUCAGAUUCACGUGCCCGGGCUUGGCUUUUCAGGAAACCUGGGCUUUGUGAUAUUUUAUUCAUAGGUUUGUGCUCUAUCAAUACCUGCCUCUCUAACCUAGAAGCUCAGGGAAUAAAAAUGGGGAAACUGAAUUAACACAUUACGUGUCACCAAGCCCAAAGAGAAAUCAGUAGCGGAACAUGCAUUUGGAUGUGGACUGACCACCAAAUGUCCACUUUUAGCUGUGCAGACACCGUGCUGGGAGUCGUGGUCACGUGAGGACGCAGACAUUUCUUUUCAAGAUAAAUUAAAGGGUAGCGUAGAAUGUACUUGGCGUUUCCCACUUAACUGGAGGGUUCACUUUCACCGAAUUCACUCUGGACCAGUGACUUCACACUGGCGGUGUGUUUGUGGGUGUUUUUUCCUGCUCUGCACUCCCCUGACCGCGGCGGGCUCCAAGCUGCCCCCCAGCCUGCUCCCCCCGCCGUGGUCCUCGGGUGGCUCCGGGAAACAUUCGGUGACGUCCAGAGACUUUCCGCAGCCAUCACGAGCCACGGCGGCGGUGGUACUGGCGUCUGGUGGGCAGACGUCCCACCGUGCACUGGGCAGGGUGCCGUCCGGCCCCCAGUGUCCGCAGGGCCCAGGCGGGUGCCCCUGGCAUAGAGGACGCAUGUGAGGAAUCCUCCCGUGACCCCACCGUUCAGUUCUCCAUUCCUAAGCUGCGCUUUUCACAGAUCCGAGCGGCUGAGGAGUGCUCCGGAGUGAGCCUGGGAGCACGGGGCACGCGGUGGGAUCCCAAUGAGGAGGCUGCAUCUGCCCUCCUCCAAACCGGGCCGGCAGCCGCUCAGCGUCCCCUGCUCUGACCACUGGCAUCUGACCACUCGGGCGGCCACGGGCAGCACACGAUCCACUGGCAAGCACCCUCCCUGUGCUGGGUGGCCGGCGGCUAACUCUCAUUGUCAGGGGCCUCUGCACCCCCGUCCCCCUGUCCCCCUCUCUGCCCCUCUCUCUUCUCUCCCCCUGUCUCCCCCCUCCGCCUCGCCCUCCCUUUCCCUCUCUCCCCCUCCUCUCCGUCCUGUCUUCUUUAUUUCCUCGUGGGAGGUGCAUCCGAAGCCCGGAUGCUCAUCCACUUGGGGACCGCCCACUUUAUGCUGGGAAAUGCAGACAGUGACCCAGCAGCAGUGUCAGUCUCUGUAUUUGCAGCACCACCUCCCACUGUUGGAUGGGCCUUAGCUCCUGAAUUCCUUGUCCCGACCUUGGCCUUGCCUGUUCUUGCUCACUGAACAGGACAAGAAAUUGGUGCGGUGACCCCAGGUCUAGAUCCACUUUUGUGGACACAAGGUCUCCAGAGUUUCUUUCAGGUCACUUCCAACGCCUGGCCCGGCACCCAGGAGGGAGACUUCAGGCUGCUCUUUGGACAAUCCCUUCCCCUUGGGAGCAGCAGGGCCUGUGACGAGUCGUGUCUUCAGCUCUGCUACUGGGGCUCAGAUUUUCAUAUUUAGGAGGCCGGCUCCCAGCGGUGUUGGAACGCCUGCCUCUCAGUGGCCGUCCCAGGGACCUUAUUCUCUGCCAGCGAUGGUCCUUUGCCCCGUCCUCUUCUGCUUUAGAACGGCUGCUGCUGGAUGACCCGAGGAGUCUCUCACAGGCGGACGCA